Molecule: ribosomal RNA, 439 nt
Filed under: uncultured bacterium
Lineage: Bacteria
Description: bacterial SSU rRNA
Rfam family: Bacterial small subunit ribosomal RNA
Source: RNAcentral
CCUACGGGUUGCAGCAGUGGGGAAUAUUGGACAAUGGGCGAAAGCCUGAUCCAGCAAUGCCGCGUGUGUGAAGAAGGUCUUCGGAUUGUAAAGCACUUUCGACGGGACGAUGAUGACGGUACCCGUAGAAGAAGCCCCGGCUAACUUCGUGCCAGCAGCCGCGGUAAUACGAAGGGGGCUAGCGUUGCUCGGAAUGACUGGGCGUAAAGGGCGCGUAGGCGGUUUAUGCAGUCAGAUGUGAAAUCCCCGGGCUUAACCUGGGAACUGCAUUUGAGACGCAUAGACUAGAGGUCGAGAGAGGGUUGUGGAAUUCCCAGUGUAGAGGUGAAAUUCGUAGAUAUUGGGAAGAACACCGGUGGCGAAGGCGGCAACCUGGCUCGGUACUGACGCUGAGGCGCGAAAGCGUGGGAAGCAAACAGGAUUAGAUACCCGUGUAGUC